CCACAUGAAGUAGGAGUUGCUAGUAAUCCCGAAUCAGCAUGUCGGGGUGAAUGCGUUCCCGGGUCUUGUACACACCGCCCGUCACACCAUGGGAGUUGGAAAUGCCCGAAGUCAGUGGCCCAACCGGAAGGGGGGAGCUGCCGAAGGCAGGUUCGAUGACUGGGGUGAAGUCGUAACAAGGUAAC
This 185-nucleotide ribosomal RNA is filed under the name uncultured bacterium. RNAcentral's name for it is "partial 16S ribosomal RNA". It matches the Rfam family "Bacterial small subunit ribosomal RNA", at positions 1316 to 1500 of the family's 1533-position model. The record is from RNAcentral.